Molecule: long non-coding RNA, 1038 nt
Organism: Schistocerca gregaria
Lineage: Eukaryota; Metazoa; Arthropoda; Insecta; Orthoptera; Acrididae
Exons: 2
Source: RefSeq, a predicted model, not a curated record
CAUACAUCUAUAUUAACUUUGUAGUUAUCGGCACACACUAAUUGUAUUUACCGGCAAUGUUUAUAAAAACACUGGAGAUGACAGAAGGCUGCAGCGAUGCUAGCGCUCCACGUGGUAACAUGUCACAUUGCAGUGUACAGAAGACAAGCGGGUAGCGACGUGUUUGAGCAAAUCUACAGUGAGGUCCUAGAUUUGAUCAAAUUCUUGACGAUAUUUGACAAAGUUCCCUAGUACACCAUCAAAUUUCUUUGCAAAGUUAUCGGACAAAGAAAUUUGAUAGUGUAAUACCGGCCAAAGUUAAAACCCGACUGUUCUUUCAAAGAAAAAUCUCGACAGUUAACCAAUGAGAAUAGAUUUCAUUAACCAUUGGAAAUGUUCGGCCUGACUGGACUGGUACUUCUGCCGUUCUCCAAUUUAAAGAGUCGUAGAUUCAGUACUCCACUAUUCUUGUUUGUUCGGCAAGUGGGGAAACUUUGUGGCGUGCCUCUCCUGAUCACAAUAAUGCCUGGUUCUCUAUGACAUUUAAUAUGUGCUAAUGUUGUGUGGAAUUCAUUAAAUCCGUGAAUAUGAGGUAGAUGUCCUGUGAAAAUUAGCUUCUGCGACGAGGGAAACCUGUAAACAACGAAAUGUAAAUUUAUAUCCCCAACAGAAACAAGGGGUCACUGGAAGCAUCCGAUUUUCAUCCGUCUACCUUGGCCCGUGACGUAAGGGUGUAAUUGUAUCUUUUGUAGAACAUCCUGAAACUUCUUAAGUGUGUGGACGACUGUCUUUUGUAGAUUAUAUUCUCAUUCACAUAUUCUGAGAUUUAACGUAAGGGAAUUUUAUAAUACCUGGCGCACAGUUCCAGCUUUUGUCAGACAAAACUAACAGUAUCUGUGGAGGUGUGCAGGUAUUAUCACAUCUACGAUGUACAUGCUUUAAAAAUGCCAAUAGCUUAAAAGUUUGUGACAUCAGAUAGCAGACUAAGAUGUAACAGUUAUCACAUGUUGGUGGAAGAAUAAGUUGAUACGUUGGCAAUAAAUGCAGUCCUUUUUAUUU